GGCUGCGAGCCCGAGCUCCCCAGCGCGCGUGAGGGCAGGCACCCGGCCUAACGGUUGUUUCCGUUCCAAUAGUACUAGGCGGCCCCAGUUAUUCUAGAAAAUGGGAAGGAGAAAAGAAGCAACUGAAGACUCCAACUGAGGCUCCAACCUGCAGCAUUGCCGACUUUGCCAGAUCCCUUCUAAAGAUUCAUUCAGCAUUCUUUGGAGCAUCAAGUCUUGGCCAGCCCUGGAGGUGCAAAGGUUUCUACGCUCCCCCUAUCAUCUCCAUCCCAGAGGUUAUCGCAGAUUAGAAGGCAAAAAAAACGCACUUGCGAUGACAUGUUUUCCGAGCUCAUGCAGUCCUCCCGCACCGAUAGGGCACAGCUGAAUGCAUGGAGGCAUUCAGUGGCAGAAUCCAGGAAAGAAUAAUAAGUGAGCGCGAUGAGAAGAGGCAGGAUGCAAUGCUGAGGCUAAUAGAGGAGCAAACGGACAUGCUCUGGCAUCUGGUGGAGCUGCAGGAAAACCAACAAGAGCACAGGCUGCCGCUGCAUCCACUGUACAACCACCUGCCCUCCUCUCCAAGUUCCAUAUCCUCCUCACCCAGACACCCAAGAAUGCAAGGGGGGAGGCUCCGGGCACCCAGCCAUUCACUCCAGAGGAUGGCCCAAGCAACAGAAGGCUGUCAUUCAAACAGUUUUGAUUUGUAGUCUGGCUACAAUAAGCAAUGUGGCCUUGUCCUUCCCUCCUCCCCAUCUCCCUUCCUCC
Molecule: long non-coding RNA, 744 nt
Organism: Malaclemys terrapin pileata
Lineage: Eukaryota; Metazoa; Chordata; Testudines; Emydidae
Exons: 3
Source: RefSeq, a predicted model, not a curated record